GUGGGGAAUAUUGCACAAUGGGCGAAAGCCUGAUGCAGCAACGCCGCGUGAGGGACGACGGCCUUCGGGUUGUAAACCUCUUUUAGUAGGGAAGAAGCGAAAGUGACGGUACCUGCAGAAAAAGCACCGGCUAACUACGUGCCAGCAGCCGCGGUAAUACGUAGGGUGCAAGCGUUGUCCGGAAUUAUUGGGCGUAAAGAGCUCGUAGGCGGUUUGUCGCGUCUGCUGUGAAAACCCGAGGCUCAACCUCGGGCCUGCAGUGGGUACGGGCAGACUAGAGUGCGGUAGGGGAGAUUGGAAUUCCUGGUGUAGCGGUGGAAUGCGCAGAUAUCAGGAGGAACACCGAUGGCGAAGGCAGAUCUCUGGGCCGUAACUGACGCUGAGGAGCGAAAGCGUGGGGAGCGAACAGGAUUAGAUACCCUUGUAGUCC
This 430-nucleotide ribosomal RNA is filed under the name uncultured bacterium. Its description in RNAcentral is "bacterial SSU rRNA". It matches the Rfam family "Bacterial small subunit ribosomal RNA", at positions 354 to 796 of the family's 1533-position model. The record is from RNAcentral.